This is a long non-coding RNA of Vicia villosa (hairy vetch), 643 nucleotides long. RefSeq lists it as uncharacterized. The record is from RefSeq and is a predicted model, not a curated record. The transcript has 4 exons. Lineage: Eukaryota; Viridiplantae; Streptophyta; Magnoliopsida; Fabales; Fabaceae.
GCCUCUUUCUUCUUUUUUUCAAUUUUCACGCUUCUGGUAGCAAGAAGAACAGAACAACAACGUAAAUCCCUCUUUUGGCUUCUCUUCACUCGUGGUUGAACAACAACAACAAAGCCCUCUCUUUCUCGGUUUUUUUCCGAUGAACAACAAGGAGGCUAUCUCCCUCGAUACUCAUCUUUCUCUUGCUGUGAAUCGCAACAACAAGAACCUCUCCCUUGAUUUCUCCCGGCGGCCAUGGGAGGAGCUUUAGAAGCUCACCAGCAAGAACUUUUGUGCACCGAUUUCAGAAGUGUAAAACAAGAAUAUACACAACAAUAAAGAACAGCAAAAAUUGAGUGUGAAAGUAGAAGCGACUUACUUGCGGCAAGGAGGUCUUUGCCGGAUUUUGUUAAGUGGCCAUGAAAUCUUAUCUCGACGAGAAGAACUUACCGUAUAACCCGGUUUCUUUCACAAACAGAGGGAAAUAUGUUAAUGGUAACAACAAUAUUGAGAGUAAGAGUGAAAUUAGCUUACCUACGGCGAGGAGGUUUUCGCCGGACUAUCGUUGAGGUACGCCUUGAAUUCUUUAUUGUUACUAACAAUUUCCCUAACAACUUUGCUUGUUGUUGUAGGCUUUUGAUGAAGGUGAUGCCAUAACACCUCU